RNAcentral lists this ribosomal RNA (321 nucleotides) under Triticum aestivum (bread wheat). RNAcentral's name for it is "partial small subunit ribosomal RNA". Lineage: Eukaryota; Viridiplantae; Streptophyta; Magnoliopsida; Poales; Poaceae. The record is from RNAcentral.
AUGACACAAGUGAUGUGGCUCCAGUCAUGUUUCUUAAGCUACCGUGUUUAUACCAUCACUAGGCCAUAUAGUUUACCAAUAACCUUCUUAAGUACUUCCACUGAACCAUCAUUAUUGCCGACUAAUUUUUGUGUUCAUGGUUAUAUUUCAGAUAACCGGUUCAGAGAAAUGCAAACAAUGGUUGGGGGUUCUAAGAAGGAUGACCCUAAAUGGGAGCAUGACAGACACCAUGGUCCAGGAAAUAAGGGGGAAUCCCAUGGUGUCUACUAUGCUUUUAGAAAUCCUAUGCAGUCAGGGAGAUUCCUUCAGAUUUUUGCAUGA